GUGGCUGAUAUUUAUUUCCUGUUUUUCCAAGUCCGCGUGACUUCUUUCUGUGGGAGAAAUACUCACUCCGGAGAGAGCCCCUGCGGCUUUCCUCAGUCCUCCGGUGGUAACCUCUGGCCAAAGUGGACUGCAGUGGCACCGUAGACACUGAUAUUAAUCCAGCACCGAAUGUACCGUUGCCACAAGAACCCCUCACGUCGCCCUGUCACAGUGUCCUCAGUGGCUGAGAUUGAGGCUUUGCUGGCAGAAGACAAGGUCCAGGGGAUGCCUUCCUCCUGUGGAGCCCCAGGAACCAGCAGACAGCUUUACUGGCAGAAGGCUGGAAGACACAAGAUGGUGAGGAGGGGUAUAGCAUGCGGCUGGCAUGGAGGUCCCACAGGAUGUGCAUGAGCCGGAAGCUAGAGGCCUGGGCAGACUGAGGACUCAGGCACUCUGAUCUGAAUGCCGGUGUCCGUCCCAGUGGGUGACUCAGCUACUGCACUCAACACCAGAGUGGGAAGACACGCAACAGCUCCUCGCAAAGGUAAACACUCCUCUGCCGCCAAGAGGACUCACUCUGCUACUAAAAAAUAUACACAUGAAUAUUCAUGGCAGCAUGGCUCAUCAACAGUCCCAAAGUGGAAACAGCUAACCUCCAUCAAUUUAGAAACAGGUCGAUAAAACGCGGUGUAAUGUCGCAAGGAGGAAUAUUCCACAACAACAGGAACGAAGCCCAGGUACACGCUACAACUCAGACAAACCCGGAGAACAUCGUGCCGAGUGGAGCAAGCCCCGUUUCACUCCGCAUGCGCAGACAGAAGGUGCCCGAGCAGGUGUCACUUGGCGAAGAGCUCCUGGGAGGGCGGCUUCGGUUUAGUUGUGGCUUUUAGCAACGGGGCGUAGCUUUGGAUGCAGAGUGGCGAUGACGGUCACACAGCAGAGCGGACAUUCUCAAGACACGGAACUGCAAACUUGGGCGUGGUGAAUUCGGACCCCGUGUUUGUCACAGCUCCCCGCCUGUGGCUUGGGAAAGGCAGUCG
Ochotona curzoniae (black-lipped pika) is the source of this 1019-nucleotide long non-coding RNA. RefSeq lists it as uncharacterized. NCBI's taxonomy places the organism in Eukaryota, Metazoa, Chordata, Mammalia, Lagomorpha, Ochotonidae. The transcript is spliced from 5 exons. The record is from RefSeq and is a predicted model, not a curated record.